UACGUAGGUGGCGAGCGUUGUCCGGAAUUACUGGGUGUAAAGGGAGCGCAGGCGGGGAAGCAAGUCAGCUGUGAAAUCUAUGGGCUUAACCCAUAACGUGCAGUUGAAACUGUUUUUCUUGAGUGGAGUAGAGGUAGGCGGAAUUCCGAGUGUAGCGGUGAAAUGCGUAGAGAUUCGGAGGAACACCGGUGGCGAAGGCGGCUUUCUGGCCAGUUACUGACGCUCAUGCGCGAAAGCUGGGGUAGCGAACCGGAUUAGAUACCCCCGUAGUCCCUGA
RNAcentral lists this ribosomal RNA (277 nucleotides) under uncultured prokaryote. Its description in RNAcentral is "partial 16S ribosomal RNA". It matches the Rfam family "Bacterial small subunit ribosomal RNA", at positions 524 to 800 of the family's 1533-position model. The record is from RNAcentral.